AGCAGCCGCGGUAAUUCCAGCUCCAAUAGCGUAUAUUAAAGUUGUUGCAGUUAAAAAGCUCGUAGUUGAAUUUCGGGGUCAGUAAGUUGGUCGUGCCACUGGUAUGUACUGGCUUUACUGAUUCCUCCUUCUUGUAGAACCGUAAUGCCAUUAAGUUGGUGUUGCGGGAAAGCAGGACUGUUACUUUGAAAAAAUUAGAGUGUUUAAAGCAAGCUAACGCUUGAAUACAUUAGCAUGGAAUAAUGAAAUAGGACGAACGAUCCUAUUUUGUUGGUUUCUAGGAUUGACGUAAUGAUUAAUAGGGAUAGUUGGGGGCAUUAGUAUUCAAUUGUCAGAGGUGAAAUUCUUGGAUUUAUUGAAGACUAACUACUGCGAAAGCAUUUGCCAAGGAUGUUUUCAUUAAUCAAGAACGAAAGUUAGGGGAUCGAAGACGAUCAGAUACCGUCGUAGUCUUAACCAUAAACUAUGCCGACUAGGGAUCGGAUGAUGUUAAUUUUUUAAUGACUCAUUCGGCGCCUUA
Molecule: ribosomal RNA, 520 nt
Filed under: uncultured Glomus
Lineage: Eukaryota; Fungi; Glomeromycota; Glomeromycetes; Glomerales; Glomeraceae
Description: SSU rRNA
Rfam family: Eukaryotic small subunit ribosomal RNA
Source: RNAcentral